UGGGUCGGCUGGACGGUCGCGUCACGGGUUCUCCCGUGCCGAGGAACGUCCGGGCUCCACAGGGCAGGACGGUGGGUAACGCCCACCCGGAGCAAUCCGCGAGACAGUGCCACAGAGAGCAGACCGCCCCGCGUCCCUGAGCUCGAGGACCUCGGUCCCUGAGCUCGUCGAAGGGCCGUGGGGUAAGGGUGAAAGGGUGGUGUAAGAGACCACCGGGGUCGUGGUGACACGACCCGCGAGGUAAACCUCGUCCGGAGCAAGGCCAGACAGGGGAUGCAGACGCGGCUCGCCGAGUCCCCGGGUAGGCCGCUGGAGCGGCACGGCAACGUGUCGCCGAGAGAGAUGACCGUCCACGGGGUUUCGGCCCCCGGACAGAACCCGGCGUACAGGCCGGCCCAUUCG
Molecule: RNase P RNA, 402 nt
Filed under: Rhodococcus sp. 06-1477-1B
Lineage: Bacteria; Bacillati; Actinomycetota; Actinomycetes; Mycobacteriales; Nocardiaceae
Description: RNase P RNA component class A
Rfam family: Bacterial RNase P class A
About the family: Ribonuclease P (RNase P) is a ubiquitous endoribonuclease, found in archaea, bacteria and eukarya as well as chloroplasts and mitochondria. Its best characterised activity is the generation of mature 5'-ends of tRNAs by cleaving the 5'-leader elements of precursor-tRNAs. Cellular RNase Ps are ribonucleoproteins.
Source: RNAcentral